This 251-nucleotide ribosomal RNA is filed under the name uncultured bacterium. RNAcentral's name for it is "partial 16S ribosomal RNA". It matches the Rfam family "Bacterial small subunit ribosomal RNA", at positions 333 to 601 of the family's 1533-position model. The record is from RNAcentral.
AUUAUCCUACGGGACGCAGCAGUCGGGAAUAUUGCACAAUGGGGGAAACCCUGAUGCAGCGACGCCGCGUGAGCGAAGAAGUAUUUCGGUACGUAAAGCUCUAUCAGCAGGGAAGAAAAUGACGGUACCUGACUAAGAAGCCCCGGCUAACUACGUGCCAGCAGCCGCGGUAAUACGUAGGGGGCAAGCGUUAUCCGGAUUUACUGGGCGUAAAGGGAGCGUAGACGGCCGCGUAAGUCUGGAGUGAAAUC